GAUGAACGCUGGCGGCGUGCUUAACACAUGCAAGUCGAACGGAAAGGCUCCUGCUUGCAGGGGUACUCGAGUGGCGAACGGGUGAGUAACACGUGGGUGAUCUGCCCUGCACUUCGGGAUAAGCCUGGGAAACUGGGUCUAAUACCGGAUAGGACCACAUUUUGGAUGGUGUGGUGGAAAGUUUUUCGGUGUGGGAUGAGCUCGCGGCCUAUCAGCUUGUUGGUGGGGUAAUGGCCUACCAAGGCGUCGACGGGUAGCCGGCCUGAGAGGGUGUACGGCCACAUUGGGACUGAGAUACGGCACAGACUCCUACGGGAGGCAGCAGUGGGGAAUAUUGCACAAUGGGCGCAAGCCUGAUGCAGCGACGCCGCGUGGGGGAUGACGGCCUUCGGGUUGUAAACUCCUUUCGCUAGGGACGAAGCGCAAGUGACGGUACCUGGAGAAGAAGCACCGGCUAACUACGUG
Molecule: ribosomal RNA, 465 nt
Filed under: uncultured bacterium
Lineage: Bacteria
Description: partial 16S ribosomal RNA
Rfam family: Bacterial small subunit ribosomal RNA
Source: RNAcentral